UGCCCAGAAACUCUUAUCUCUACCUCCUCGUGGUACUGGCCGGGGUACGAGCAACCUUAGGGAACAUCGGGUAAUCAACCCCGGUGGGAGCUUUACUCGUAUGCUGGCAGGGAAGG
RNAcentral lists this ribozyme (116 nucleotides) under Aedes aegypti (yellow fever mosquito). Its description in RNAcentral is "drz-agam-1 ribozyme". It matches the Rfam family "drz-agam-1 ribozyme". Lineage: Eukaryota; Metazoa; Arthropoda; Insecta; Diptera; Culicidae. The record is from Rfam by way of RNAcentral.